CAGUCGCCGCGGUAAAACGGAGGGGGCUAGCGUUGUUCGGAAUUACUGGGCGUAGAGCGCACGUAGGCGGCUUGGUAAGUUAGAGGUGAAAGCCUGGAGCUCAACUCCAGAAUUGCCUUUAAGACUGCCGAGCUAGCAGGUGAGAGAGGUAAGUGGAAUUCCGAGUGUAGAGGUGAAAUUCGUAGAUAUUCGGAAGAACACCAGUGGCGAAGGCGGCUUACUGGCUCAUACUGGACGCUGAGGUGCGAAAGCGUGGGGAGCAAACAGGAUUAGAUACCUGCGUAGUCCCUGUCUCUUAUAC
This 301-nucleotide ribosomal RNA is filed under the name uncultured bacterium. RNAcentral's name for it is "partial 16S ribosomal RNA". It matches the Rfam family "Bacterial small subunit ribosomal RNA", at positions 509 to 807 of the family's 1533-position model. The record is from RNAcentral.